UGGCUCCAUUGCUGCUGAGCAAAUCAAUACUUGUGAAUCCAAUAUUGUCAGUGCACGAAAAUUCAAUCAAGAUGACUUGCUGCAGUGAUAAACAUAAGUAUGAGAAAAAAGUAGAAGAUUCAAGAGAAUGAAAUGAAACUACUGGAAUCAACACAAAAAAAUCGUAAGAAAAUUUACAUGCAAGUGCCUACCUUCUCCAGCUGUUAUAAGAGAAAGCGCAUGAGCAGGGGAUACAAUAAUGAGAGAUUCAUUGCAGAAUUUUAGAGGGCAAAGCGAUACAAGUGGUCAAGUUGCUUGAUGAGUGAAAAGGUGGCAAGAGAGACACAAGAAGACUAUCUAACUAAGAGUUGCUUGAUGCAGGAGUCAUUGUCAUGUGAGCUAUCAUAUCCAGAUUGAACAAUCAAUCAGUUAAAUCGAUCAUAACAAUUGUUUUCUGCUGCCUAUGGUCAUGUUGUGUGUGUC
Arabidopsis thaliana (thale cress) is the source of this 462-nucleotide long non-coding RNA. RefSeq annotates it as other RNA. Lineage: Eukaryota; Viridiplantae; Streptophyta; Magnoliopsida; Brassicales; Brassicaceae. The transcript has a single exon. The record is from RefSeq.